RNAcentral lists this ribosomal RNA (440 nucleotides) under uncultured bacterium. RNAcentral describes it as "partial 16S ribosomal RNA". It matches the Rfam family "Bacterial small subunit ribosomal RNA", at positions 338 to 795 of the family's 1533-position model. The record is from RNAcentral.
CCUACGGGAGGCAGCAGUGGGGAAUAUUGCACAAUGGGGGAAACCCUGAUGCAGCGACGCCGCGUGAGUGAAGAAGUAAUUCGUUAUGUAAAGCUCUAUCAGCAGGGAAGAAAAUGACGGUACCUGAGUAAGAAGCCCCGGCUAACUACGUGCCAGCAGCCGCGGUAAUACGUAGGGGGCAAGCGUUAUCCGGGUUUACUGGGUGUAAAGGGAGCGUAGACGGCAGUGCAAGUCUGGAGUGAAAGGCGGGGGCUCAACCCCGGGACUGCUUUGGAAACUGUGUAGCUGGAGUGUAGGAGGGGUAAGCGGAAUUCCUAGUGUAGCGGUGAAAUGCGUAGAUAUUAGGAGGAACACCGGUGGCGAAGGCGGCUUACUGGACUGUAACUGACGUUGAGGCUCGAAAGCGUGGGGAGCAAACAGGAUUAGAUACCCUGGUAGUC